RNAcentral lists this ribosomal RNA (1346 nucleotides) under uncultured bacterium. RNAcentral's name for it is "partial 16S ribosomal RNA". It matches the Rfam family "Bacterial small subunit ribosomal RNA", at positions 28 to 1381 of the family's 1533-position model. The record is from RNAcentral.
GACGAACGCUGGCGGCGUGCUUAACACAUGCUAGUCGAACGGAAAGGCCCUGCUUUUGUGGGGUGCUCGAGUGGCGAACGGGUGAGUAACACGUGAGUAACCUGCCCUUGACUUUGGGAUAACUUCAGGAAACUGGGGCUAAUACCGGAUAGGAGCUCCUGCUGCAUGGUGGGGGUUGGAAAGUUUCGGCGGUUGGGGAUGGACUCGCGGCUUAUCAGCUUGUUGGUGGGGUAGUGGCUUACCAAGGCUUUGACGGGUAGCCGGCCUGAGAGGGUGACCGGCCACAUUGGGACUGAGAUACGGCCCAGACUCCUACGGGAGGCAGCAGUGGGGAAUAUUGCACAAUGGGCGGAAGCCUGAUGCAGCAACGCCGCGUGCGGGAUGACGGCCUUCGGGUUGUAAACCGCUUUCGCCUGUGACGAAGCGUGAGUGACGGUAAUGGGUAAAGAAGCACCGGCUAACUACGUGCCAGCAGCCGCGGUGAUACGUAGGGUGCGAGCGUUGUCCGGAUUUAUUGGGCGUAAAGGGCUCGUAGGUGGUUGAUCGCGUCGGAAGUGUAAUCUUGGGGCUUAACCCUGAGCGUGCUUUCGAUACGGGUUGACUUGAGGAAGGUAGGGGAGAAUGGAAUUCCUGGUGGAGCGGUGGAAUGCGCAGAUACCAGGAGGAACACCAGUGGCGAAGGCGGUUCUCUGGGCCUUUCCUGACGCUGAGGAGCGAAAGCGUGGGGAGCGAACAGGCUUAGAUACCCUGGUAGUCCACGCUGUAAACGGUGGGUACUAGGUGUGGGGUCCAUUCCACGGGUUCCGUGCCGUAGCUAACGCUUUAAGUACCCCGCCUGGGGAGUACGGCCGCAAGGCUAAAACUCAAAGGAAUUGACGGGGCCCCGCACAAGCGGCGGAGCAUGCGGAUUAAUUCGAUGCAACGCGUAGAACCUUACCUGGGUUUGACAUGGAUCGGGAGUGCUCAGAGAUGGGUGUGCCUCUUUUGGGGUCGGUUCACAGGUGGUGCAUGCCUGUCGUCAGCUCGUGUCGUGAGAUGUUGGGUUAAGUCCCGCAACGAGCGCAACCCUUGUUCACUGUUGCCAGCACGUUAUGGUGGGGACUCAGUGGAGACCGCCGGGGUCAACUCGGAGGAAGGUGGGGAUGACGUCAAGUCAUCAUGCCCCUUAUGUCCAGGGCUUCACGCAUGCUACAAUGGCUGGUACAGAGAGUGGCGAGCCUGUGAGGGUGAGCGAAUCUCGGAAAGCCGGUCUCAGUUCGGAUUGGGGUCCGCAACUCGACCUCAUGAAGUCGGAGUCGCUAGUAAUCGCAGAUCAGCAACGCUGCGGUGAAUACGUUCCCGGGGCU